GUCAUCAUCCCAGCCCUGAACUCCUUGUCCACCCUGCUGGUUGUCAGCUGCAUCUUAUGGAAGACAUGCCGGCGGCGGGCCCGGCUCACCUAUCCCAGCCCUCCAUCUCCAUGAAAAAACCCAGUUGCAUCAUCACAAAUACCCAACGGAAGCUCUGCCAUGUCUGCACACCCAUGACAUAAAGAGAAGACCUUUGGUGUGACAUAAAGAGAAGAAAUUCUCUUUGCUCUCUCAAGGCAA
Arvicanthis niloticus (Nile rat) is the source of this 240-nucleotide long non-coding RNA. RefSeq lists it as uncharacterized. NCBI's taxonomy places the organism in Eukaryota, Metazoa, Chordata, Mammalia, Rodentia, Muridae. The record is from RefSeq and is a predicted model, not a curated record.